Molecule: ribosomal RNA, 264 nt
Filed under: uncultured bacterium
Lineage: Bacteria
Description: partial 16S ribosomal RNA
Rfam family: Bacterial small subunit ribosomal RNA
Source: RNAcentral
CGACCGGCGCACGGGUGAGUAACGCGUAUCCAACCUGCCCUUUACUAUGGGACAGCCCGUCGAAAGGCGGAUUAAUACCGUAUGCUGUCAUGUUGAUGCAUAUUUUCAUGACCAAAGGCUUCGGCCGGUAAAGGAUGGGGAUGCGUCUGAUUAGCUUGCCGGCGGGGUAACGGCCCACCGGGGCGACGAUCAGUAGGGGUUCUGAGAGGAAGGUCCCCCACAUUGGAACUGAGACACGGUCCAAACUCCUACGGAAGGCAGCAG